AGUGAACGCUGGCGGUGGGCCUAACACAUGCAAGUCGAACGGCAGCACAGUAAGAGCUUGCUCUUACGGGUGGCGAGUGGCGGACGGGUGAGGAAUACAUCGGAAUCUACUUUUUCGUGGGGGAUAACGUAGGGAAACUUACGCUAAUACCGCAUACGACCUACGGGUGAAAGCAGGGGAUCUUCGGACCUUGCGCGAUUGAAUGAGCCGAUGUCGGAUUAGCUAGUUGGCGGGGUAAAGGCCCACCAAGGCGACGAUCCGUAGCUGGUCUGAGAGAAUGAUCAGCCACACUGGAACUGAGACACGGUCCAGACUCCUACGGGAGGCAGCAGUGGGGAAUAUUGGACAAUGGGCGCAAGCCUGAUCCAGCCAUACCGCGUGGGUGAAGAAGGCCUUCGGGUUGUAAAGCCCUUUUGUUGGGAAAGAAAAGCAGCAGGUUAAUACCCCGCUGUUCUGACGGUACCCAAAGAAUAAGCACCGGCUAACUUCGUG
Molecule: ribosomal RNA, 492 nt
Filed under: uncultured bacterium
Lineage: Bacteria
Description: partial 16S ribosomal RNA
Rfam family: Bacterial small subunit ribosomal RNA
Source: RNAcentral